CGAGAGUGCCUUCGGGAACUGUGAGACAGGUGCUGCAUGGCUGUCGUCAGCUCGUGUUGUGAAAUGUUGGGUUAAGUCCCGCAACGAGCGCAACCCUUAUCCUUUGUUGCCAGCGGUUUGGCCGGGAACUCAAAGGAGACUGCCGUUGAUAAAGCGGAGGAAGGUGGGGACGACGUCAAGUCAUCAUGGCCCUUACGACCAGGGCUACACACGUGCUACAAUGGCGUAUACAAAGGGAGGCGACCUCGCGAGAGCAAGCGGACCUCAUAAAGUACGUCUAAGUCCGGAUUGGAGUCUGCAACUCGACUCCAUGAAGUCGGAAUCGCUAGUAAUCGUGAAUCAGAAUGUCACGGUGAAUACGUUCCCGGGCCUUGUACACACCGCCCGUCACACCAUGGGAGUGGGUUGCACCAGAAGUAGAUAGCUUAACCUUCGGGAGGGCGUUUACCACGGUGUGGUCCAUGACUGGGGUGAAGUCGUAACAAGGUAACCGUAGGGGAACCUGCGGUUGGAUCACCUCCUUAC
Molecule: ribosomal RNA, 525 nt
Filed under: Gilliamella sp. wkB292
Lineage: Bacteria; Pseudomonadati; Pseudomonadota; Gammaproteobacteria; Orbales; Orbaceae
Description: bacterial SSU rRNA
Rfam family: Bacterial small subunit ribosomal RNA
Source: RNAcentral